CCUACGGGGGGCAGCAGUGGGGAAUAUUGGACAAUGGGGGGAACCCUGAUCCAGCCAUGCCGCGUGUGUGAAGAAGGCCCUCGGGUUGUAAAGCACUUUCAGUGAGGAAGAACGCCUGGUGGUUAAUACCCAUCAGGAAAGACAUCACUCACAGAAGAAGCACCGGCUAACUCCGUGCCAGCAGCCGCGGUAAUACGGAGGGUGCGAGCGUUAAUCGGAAUUACUGGGCGUAAAGCGCGCGUAGGUGGCUUGAUAAGCCGGUUGUGAAAGCCCCGGGCUCAACCUGGGAACGGCAUCCGGAACUGUCAAGCUAGAGUGCAGGAGAGGAAGGUAGAAUUCCCGGUGUAGCGGUGAAAUGCGUAGAGAUCGGGAGGAAUACCAGUGGCGAAGGCGGCCUUCUGGUCUGACACUGACACUGAGGUGCGAAAGCGUGGGUAGCAAACAGGAUUAGAUACCCUGGUAGUC
Molecule: ribosomal RNA, 465 nt
Filed under: Vreelandella stevensii
Lineage: Bacteria; Pseudomonadati; Pseudomonadota; Gammaproteobacteria; Oceanospirillales; Halomonadaceae
Description: partial 16S ribosomal RNA
Rfam family: Bacterial small subunit ribosomal RNA
Source: RNAcentral